This is a long non-coding RNA of Marmota monax (woodchuck), 1174 nucleotides long. RefSeq lists it as uncharacterized. The record is from RefSeq and is a predicted model, not a curated record. The transcript is spliced from 3 exons. Lineage: Eukaryota; Metazoa; Chordata; Mammalia; Rodentia; Sciuridae.
AAGGUGCUGCUAAGAGGCCCGGCACCGGAAAUGUGCUGUGCGCCUGCGCAAGCAGCAUUGACAGGCGGCCUGACUACGGAAGGGCGCUCUGCGCCUAAAUGCGUAGCGGGGAUGGACCCGACGCCCCAGCCCUCGUCCAGCCCGAGAGCGACUCCUCGCGGCCGGCGGGAGACUCCUUGUCUCGAACCCGUGGGUCUGAGGUCUGAUUGGGCCAUGACCCUUUUCCCCUCGCUAGUGGGAAAGGCGCGUCACCUCUGGUCUUUGCUCACGAGGGGAAAGAGGAAGGUAUCGCUGCUUCUCAAGAUUGAAGUGUGCUUCCUGGAGAGCACGGAAUCAGUGUCAUCUCGUCUCUGCAGCCAACGCGCAAGGAUAGACAGAGCUCACCUGCUUCCCAAGGCCACAGGUCGAGGGCUUGGCCUUUUCCAUGCACUGAGAGUGCAGCUCCUUUGCGCCCAAGGCGGUUAGGAUCCCUUGAUGUAAAAGGAGAGGAAAUAUUCUAUGACGCGUAAUAUGGCUACACAUGAACUGGAAAAGUCAGAAACAAGAUCAUGGAGUCGUUCAAGGGGUUGAAGCUAGGGAUUGGCACAACCCAGUUUACCUUAGAAAGACCAUUGGCUGCAGUAUGGCGAAAAACCAGAGCUGUGCCAAGCACUGUGCAAGGCAUCAAGUAUGCUUUCUGGGAGCUUCAGGGUACAGCCAAUUCAGAAAGAGCCAUGCAGAAUUCAAAGUGGCCAAACAGAGGAAAAACUGCUUCUGUUCAAGAGGGGAAACUCCAUGGAGCAGAUUCUAAAAACCCAAGUCAGAGCUUACCAGAUCUGGCAAAACUGAGAACAAAGAUAUCCAGAAAAUUUCAUGGCAUCAUAUUCUCAAUCACAGCAGGAACAACAAUGGAUCUUAAUGCCAACUCCAAUCCUAAGUAGCCAUUUAACUUUUAGUUACAACACCCCACUUGUAUAAGGCUUUAAUUUCUUUACAUUAUUUGGCAUUGUAUUAAUUUGUAUUUCUAGUCUAAAACUUGUGAAUCUGAAAGAUACUGUAAAAAUACAAAUAUACUUUAAAAUAAUGAUCUGGAAUUAAUUUUUCAGGAAACACUAAAUAUUCACAUAUGGUUAUGCUUACAUUCAAUUUUUAAGCUACAAUGACACAGACUUUAGUUACAUUUACUUACCUGAGU